Molecule: ribosomal RNA, 253 nt
Filed under: uncultured bacterium
Lineage: Bacteria
Description: partial 16S ribosomal RNA
Rfam family: Bacterial small subunit ribosomal RNA
Source: RNAcentral
GACAGAGGGGGCAAGCGUUGCUCGGAAUCACUGGGCUUAAAGGGCGCGUAGGCGGCCUGUUAAGUCGAACGUGAAAUCCCCGGGCUCAACCCGGGAACUGCGUCCGAUACUGGCAGGCUUGAAUCCGGGAGAGGGAUGCGGAAUUCCAGGUGUAGCGGUGAAAUGCGUAGAUAUCUGGAGGAACACCGGUGGCGAAGGCGGCAUCCUGGACCGGCAUUGACGCUGAGGCGCGAAAGCCAGGGGAGCAAACGGG